GGAUUAAAGUGGUGUAAUGGUUUGAAUGUUGGACAAGGGCUCUGGAGAUCAGGGUUCAAAUCCCUGCUUGGCCA
Non-coding RNA from Phrynosoma platyrhinos (Desert horned lizard), 74 nucleotides. The record is from the annotation of a GenBank genome assembly. NCBI's taxonomy places the organism in Eukaryota, Metazoa, Chordata, Lepidosauria, Squamata, Phrynosomatidae.